Molecule: ribosomal RNA, 2424 nt
Filed under: Triticum aestivum (bread wheat)
Lineage: Eukaryota; Viridiplantae; Streptophyta; Magnoliopsida; Poales; Poaceae
Description: partial small subunit ribosomal RNA
Source: RNAcentral
AUGGGGCCCGCCGGGCCCAGAUCUGGGCAGGGGGCGCGACGUCGGCCACCCAACACCACCACGCUGCCCCGCCACAAAGGAGCAGCGCCGCCACCACGCCCGCCGCCAGCCACCCCGCCGGGUAACCGGACCACCGCCAAGCCGAGCGACACCGCUGCCGCCCCCCUGCCCCGGGCCAGGAGGAUGCGCGCGUGGGGAGAGGAGAUCCUGCCGCCGCCGGCACCCCCGGGCCGGAGCAGGGGGCGCUCGCCGGCGACUGUAGGGGAGAGGAUGAGGGGACAAAGCCGAGAGCAGAAGCACGGGGGCCGCCCCGGCCGCCUCCCGGGGAGGCGGCGCGAGGGCGGAAGGAGGGGCGGGGAAGGAAGGGCGGGGGAAGGAGGGAGCGGAUCCGGGCCGCGCGCCGGCGAGGACGACCGGAUCCCGCCGGCGACGGGCAGGGAAAGUGUGAAGAUGCAACACAUGAACACUUGGGGAUCUAGUAUACUGACACAACAAACUCCAGAAUAUGCAACCUAUGAUAGCGGCACCUUGAGGACUGGAUGGGAUGUCAACGCAUGGAGGCACCAGCUACCCGCAGCAGAGGAGAUUUGGCCGGCGGCCAUCACCACUCAUGCGAAGCAGCACAGUGAGGAGAUGUUCUGUUCGAGGCUCCGUGGCUGUUGGCGCGUCCGGUUCCAGGCAGAGUACGGGCUGCUCACGCAUGUUGCAUGCACAUGCACAUGCACAUGUAUGAUCAGAUCUCGUGUACUCUUUGUGCCCUAUUCGAAGCAGCAAGAGUGCUGCCUUUUCAUUAAGAAGGGGGAGAUAGAUACAACUGACAGCAAUGGUGAGAGGGGCUUCAGUGAAUGCAGUGGACUUGGAUUAAUUGGGUAUGUUUGCUUCAAAAGGAUGAGUCUGUCAAAGUGUCAUGUGAAUGGCAAGGAGCUGAGGUGCCACCGGAUCGGAUCUAGGCCAGCCUGGAACAUGACAACACUGGCCAAUCAGGAGGAUCAGUUUCAGAGGCGUGGGGCUAAUAUUUCAGCCCUUUUAUCUGGUCUGUUUUUGUCCCAGCAACAGGAAUUAUGGCCGAGCAUGCCGGACGUGAUUGUCACCUACACCCUAAUGUUGGCUAACUUCUUCCUGGAUAUGAGAUGGCUGUUGAGAGCACUUGGGUCAACCUGGGCGCAUGUUUUCCAGAAGUCCAGCUGGCUUCACCAUGUUGUUUUGUGCAGUGGGAGAUGGCACCGGCUCUGUUCUGUCGUCGUGUUUCUUGAUCUUGGCCUGCCCCGGCUACGCCUCAUGCCGCCUCCGUGCAUGUGGCAGAUCCGCAGAUUGGAAAAUGCAAUUGGGCUGGAAGAUAUUUGGAAUGAACACCAGGACUCCAAAGGACAUAAGCUUUCACAAGAUGUGAAAGUUCUGGUGCUCGAAUGUGUACAGAAGAUACUCAAAUCAAGAUACGAGAUGCAGAGUUAUUUUUCUGAAGGACAACUUGAAUAUUAUGAGAUUCAGUCCAAAGCCUGUUACGGCACUGACAAAAGUUCCUGUUUGAGCAGACCAAUAUAUGGGCCUCCGUGCUACACCGACCACUACUCCUCUGAAUGCCACCAGCAUCCGGCGGCGACACAGGCUGACAGGCGGCGGAUGUCGUCGCUCGCCGUUGGGAAAUUCCCAAGCCUAGACAGCUCAUCUACAUCAAGCCCGUCCAGCCUUGAUCGAUCGGCGCGAGCACGUCUGUGCAACAACCAGCUACGAUCCGAUGAAACCGUCGACGAGCCAGCCGCAAGCAAGUCCGAGUCAGCACCAACUGCAGCGAGAGGCUACGUUGCACGACACGUGGUUCUCGGAUCACAGGAGGGCGUAGAUCCUGCGGUGAUUUCCAUCGCGUACGAGUACGCGGAUCUCCCGACGGCGCAACCAGCAACUCCUUCAAAUCAGCGCUCAUGCAUGGAUCGUGGUUCCCUUGAAGUGAUGCAGGUUUACUCCCGUUUAGUUGUAGGGCACAAAAGAUCGUCAUUACACAAGGACCGAGUACAAGACCACACUGGACGGCCGCAUCUACAUCAAGGGGGGCUGAAAUCUUUUGUUCUCAGGAGCGACCUCGAGGUGGCAAUGGACAUUGAAGUCACAUUCUCGGUCUUUUGUACAAAGGGUGUAUGUAGUUUUCAUGUGCUCUACGAAUGUCAAUGCUCAAAGGUGGCGCAUGUGCAAUUAAUCAAGGAGCCUGAAGGAAUUCUUAUGGAGUAUGCCUCCAAGGUUCUUUUCUCGACCAAGUCGGUCAUCUACAAUUUCUGCGUCUUACUUCUCGAGAUUUUAAGCGGGAAGAGGAACGCAAGCUUCUUGAAUCUCACAGGACACUGCCAGAGCCCAAGUAGCCAGCCUACUACAAAGCCCGGAUAUCAAGCAUCCGUGAGUCAGUCAGGCCUGUUGUCGGGUCUUCCAUCGUAG